UACGAAGGGGGCUAGCGUUGCUCGGAAUCACUGGGCGUAAAGCGCACGUAGGCGGAUUGCUAAGUCAGGGGUGAAAUCCUGGAGCUCAACUCCAGAACUGCCUUUGAUACUGGCGACCUUGAGUCCGGGAGAGGUGAGUGGGAACUGCGAGUGUAGAGGUGAAAAUUCGUAGAUAUUCGCAAGAACACCAGUGGCGAAGGCGGCUCACUGGCCCGGUACUGACGCUGAGGAGCGAAAGCGUGGGGAGCAAACAGG
RNAcentral lists this ribosomal RNA (255 nucleotides) under uncultured bacterium. RNAcentral describes it as "partial 16S ribosomal RNA". It matches the Rfam family "Bacterial small subunit ribosomal RNA", at positions 524 to 776 of the family's 1533-position model. The record is from RNAcentral.